AGAAAGCGUAAAUAUAUAAGAAAAAUAACAUUUCCAGGCGAUCCAGGAGGUGUGCCAUAAAUCAAAUGCGGUAGAAAGUGAUAGAAUUGAUUGUCUCUUUUUUGGACAAAUUCUCCAUCUGAGAGCCAGAAAUCAUGGACGAUCGCUAUUAAAUGGUAUGCAUCACCUAUAGAAAGCAUAAAUAUAUAAGAAAAAUAACAUUUUCAGGCGAUCCAGGAGGUGUGCCAUAAAUCAAAUGCGGUAGAAAGUGAUAGAAUUGAUUUUUUCUUUUUUGGACAAAUUUUCCAUCUGAGAGCCAGAAAUCAUGGACGAUCGCUAUGAAGUGGUAUGCAUCGUCUUUAGAAAGCAUAAAUAUGUAAGAAAAAUAUCAUUUCCAGGCGAUCCAGGAUGUGUGCCAUAAAUCAAAUGCGGUAGAAAAUGAUAGAAUUAACUUUCUCUUUUUUGGCCAAAUUCUCCAUCUGAGAGCCAGAAAUCAUGGACGAUCAUUAUGAAGUGGCGAUCCAGGAUGUGUGCUAUAAAUCAAAUGCGGUAGAAAGUGAAAGAAUUGAUUUUUUCUUUUUUGGACAAAUUCUCCAUUUAAGAGCCAGAAAUCAUGGACGAUCGCUUUGAAAUGGCGAUCCAGGAUGUGUGCCAUAAAUCAAAUGCGGUAGAAAGUGAUAGAAUUAACUUUCUCUUUUUUGGACAAAUUCUCUAUCUGAGAGCCAGAAAUCAUGGACGAUCGCUAUG
This is a long non-coding RNA of Anthonomus grandis grandis, 726 nucleotides long. RefSeq lists it as uncharacterized. The transcript is spliced from 3 exons. NCBI's taxonomy places the organism in Eukaryota, Metazoa, Arthropoda, Insecta, Coleoptera, Curculionidae. The record is from RefSeq and is a predicted model, not a curated record.